UACGAAGGGGGCUAGCGUUGUUCGGAAUCACUGGGCGUAAAGGGCGCGUAGGCGGCUGUUCAAGUCGGGGGUGAAAGCCUGUGGCUCAACCACAGAAUGGCCUUCGAUACUGGACGGCUCGAGACCGGAAGAGGUCAGUGGAACUGCGAGUGUAGAGGUGAAAUUCGUAGAUAUUCGCAAGAACACCAGUGGCGAAGGCGGCUGACUGGUCCGGUUCUGACGCUGAGGCGCGAAAGCGUGGGGAGCAAACAGG
Molecule: ribosomal RNA, 253 nt
Filed under: uncultured bacterium
Lineage: Bacteria
Description: partial 16S ribosomal RNA
Rfam family: Bacterial small subunit ribosomal RNA
Source: RNAcentral